This 1303-nucleotide long non-coding RNA is filed under the name Sus scrofa (pig). RNAcentral's name for it is "lncRNA (ENSSSCG00000048810.1)". The record is from RNAcentral. Lineage: Eukaryota; Metazoa; Chordata; Mammalia; Artiodactyla; Suidae.
AUCUGAGGUCAAAAUUGCCUGAAAUGUAGCUAUUACUUUUGGGUGGAUUCUUCUCUUAGGAGGGGAGUAUCUAAGGGUGUUUCCAUUCCUGACUCUGAUUGUGGUGAUGAUGACAGGUAUUCCAGGAAGCUUGGUAUAUUUAUCAAGCCUUAUUAACUAGAUCCUUUGCUAUUAUUCUUGCAGUGAGAUGAUUAUACAUAUUUUCUGCUUUUUCGGUCUUUUUUUAAUUUCACCUAUUGAUAAUUUAUAAACAUAUGAACAAAUUUUGACUGGAAGUGAAAAUUCAGCAAAGUCAAAAGUGGGCAAUGCCACUGAAGAAGGAUGGAAAUCUGAGAGACAUUGUAACAAGAGUAAGAAAACUUUUUUUUACAGGCAGUCAUUGACUUUUAGGAAAUAUAUUUUAAGGACUCAUAUAUUUUUAAAAACUUAAUUAUGUUUUAAUGUUAAAGAAAAAUAUUAAAUGUUCCAUACAGUCACAUUUAGAAGUCAGACCAGGAAAAAGGGCAAAUGCGGGGGUGGGAGGUUAGAUAGUGGGAAGAGAUCAGAGGGAAUUUGGAGGGCCAGAGUGACUUUGUCCUUCAUCAUUGCUCUUUGAAAUGCUGACCAAGAAUUCCUUCUUCUUUGCUAAGUAAUAUAGGUUCUUAUUCUAAGUUUAAAGUGCUUCUUUGAAGAAAAAAAGAAUUUCCCCAAGGAAUUCUGGAAGUUUCUCCUAUUCAUAAUGAAAUAAAGACCUAAAGAUCUAUGGGAGUUCCUGUCAGGGCUCAGUGGUUAACAAAUCCAACUAGUAUCUAUGAGGAUGUGGUUUCAGUUCCUGGCCUUGCUCAGUGGGUUAAGGAUCUGGUGUUGCCUUGAGCUGGGGUGUAGGUCGCAGAUGCGGCUCAGAUCCAGUGUUGCUGUGGCUGUGGUGUAGGCCAGAAGUUACAGCUCUGAUUUGACCCCUAGCCUGCAGCCCUAAAAAACAAACAAACAAACAAACAAACAAGCAAACGAAAAACACUAAAGAUCUAAUGAUGAAGUAGGCAGAAAACUUGCCUUUAGAAAGCUUAAAGGGGUAGGUGGUGCAGCAACAAUCUUGGGAUUUUUUGAUAUAUGUCGAAAAAUAGUCUACUUGGAGUUCCUGCUGUGGUUCAGUGGGUUAAGAAUCCGACUGCAAUAGCUCAGAUCACUGUGGAAGUGUGAGUUCAAUCCCCACGUGAUGUGGUGUGUUAAAGGAUUUGAUGUUGCCACACCUGUGGCAUAGGUCACAGCUGUAGCUCGGAUUCAGUCCCUGGCCCAGGAACUUCCAUAUGCUGUGGGUGUGGCC